RNAcentral lists this long non-coding RNA (1904 nucleotides) under Homo sapiens (human). RNAcentral describes it as "long non-coding RNA NONHSAT211632.1". The record is from RNAcentral. Lineage: Eukaryota; Metazoa; Chordata; Mammalia; Primates; Hominidae.
UUCUUUAUUUCUUUACUUUCUUAAUAACUUACUUGCUUUCACUUUACUCUAUGGACUUGCCCCAAAUUCUUUCUUGUGGGAGAUCCAAGAACACUCUCUUGGGGUCUGGAUCAGGACCCCUUUCUUAUAACACCACCACCUGCUUUCUUGGGUCUCCAGCUUGCAGAUGGCAGAUUGUGGGACUUACUUCUUAGCCUUCAUAACUGCAUGACUAAUUUAUCAUAUUAAAUCUUAUUUUCUUUAUAUAUAUCUCCAUCCUACUGGUUUCUCUGGAGAACCCUAAUACAUUUCCCAUCUCUCUGCAGCUAGAAUCAGCCAGAAACAUAUAAGGAGACUCCACCAGGAGUGGGGAGUUCUUGGGAAAGCUUUUGCUUCUGAAAAAAGAUAAAAGUACACAGGAGAGCUGUCUGGUGCCAUUCCUUGAGCAUGUGAGAGACUGUGUCACCGGGAGCAGCAGUUAUCUGUGGCCAUAAGUUGAGAUGACUGGAUGAAAUGCUAACAUGUUGAGAAGUCCCAGCCUGGAGGAUCUAGCUUACAGAAUUUUCCUGUGGGCUAGAGAAGAAACCUUUACUCCCUAUGACAGCAAAGCUUCAAGACCUGCUGCUACAUGGCAGAAGAUACGACAUCACAAAAUAGACAACCCACCCUUUUUUUCCCCAAAGGAUGGUGGGAAGAAGGAAGCAGAAUGGAAAAGAACUAGGAAAGCCAAGUACAGAGAUGAUGUGUGUUCCAAGCACCACCCACCUUACCCCACCCCUGUCCCGCCCAGCUUAGAGGACUGAAGAGAAUGCAGAAUUAGGCAUGGGUAGGGCUGCUUUUGUCCUAGUUCCCUUGGGACUGGUCGGGGACAGGCUCAUAGGCUGUUCUGCACCACCCAGAGAGAAGCUGUGUCACUUGGCAGUACAGUAGGCCAGGAGAAGAUUGUGGUGGCCCCACGUGGCUCUGUGGUAUUUAUAUAGGAUCCUGCAGCUGCUGAGUCUCUGGUGCGGAGCAGCCCAGUGGGGGUUGUUAUAGUGGCAGUGGGGUGCCCUGUAGAGAGCAUUACAGAGUGGGUCACCAGGCCCAGGAUUAGAAGUGUCUGUAGCCCCCGAGGAACCGGGACAGGACUGAAUCAGUCAAGAAGAGACGAGAUGAUGAUGACGGAGUGGCCACAAAGUCCUCCCACCCCUACCCUAUCCCAGAUGAGCCCAUGCUGUAACCACAUGAAGAGCAAAGAAACAACUAUUUAUUCUCAGGGACUGUGUUAAUGAUUCCCAACCAUCAGCAUCGAAGAAGAGGUCCGGAAGAAUGUGAAGAAUGCUAAGUCUUGUGUGGAGAAUAGAGGGGAGCAUGAAGACAAUCCACAGCCUGCAGGCAGGGACUUCAUGGACACUCUACAUUGUGCAGCAGCCACAGAAUUCAGCCACAGGUGCCAGCUGGACAAUGCAUAGGAGUGAAUGAGACAGAAAGCAAGACCAUGAGGAUGACUAAGAAGAGCAAGUACAACAUGGCUGAGACUAAGUGUCCAGGGAGUUGAGAAUAAGUGGCCUAUUGUCAUGUCCUAUAUAAGUAGAGUAUAUGGAUGGGAGGCCAAGAAUACACCAACAAAUAAAAUAUUGAAUAUAUCGGUCAAGGGCAUAUCGAGAUGAUCAGGAUGCUGCCUAUUGGAAUGUUUAUCCUCCCACCCUACCCCAGAAGAGGAGCUUCUCGUCUUGUUCACCGCUGUUUCCCAGCUCCUGGAAGAGCCUGGCACAUAAAAGGUGCACAAUGAACAUUCAUUAAAAUCAAUGAUUAAUUGAACUGGCUAGUAUUCCAUCUCACUUUCAUUACUGGAGAACUGAAGAGCCAGCUAGCCUACAAAAACUCAUUCUGGAUGUAGAAGCAAUAAGAAAACAUGCAUUCAAAUAAAAGCAGAGAAUCCUUCU